GAAAAGAUAGAACCAAAGCAACAAAAAAACAUGUACUGUCUUUGAAAAAUAAAUAUGACUUUUUUAAAUGAGGGGAAGAAACACGGAGAUUAAUACUUGAAUAUCAAGAAUCAAAGUGAAAAUAAAAUUUUAAAAAAAAACAUGCAGGUGCCUACAUAGGUGCAAUAGAUCACCAAUGCAACAGAAAAAACCAUUUCGAAACGAAAGAAAACGAGGAAGUCAUACGAAGCCGGAGGGGUUACCUUAUCAAAAGCAGCGAACGAGGAUUGUCGAGCUAGACGAGGAAUGAACUUCAUCACCGAAAGCACACUCGAACCACGGCUAAGACGUCUAAACGGAAUACCACAGCCGAACGACGGAACUGAAAGUAUUUCUCAACUUCUUUUCGAUCCCUUAGGUUUAUCUCUAUACCUAUUUUGUUCUUGACGAAACUUUCUAAAAUAGGUUGACAAUCUCCUCUCAAAC
This 465-nucleotide unclassified non-coding RNA is filed under the name Hevea brasiliensis (rubber tree). Lineage: Eukaryota; Viridiplantae; Streptophyta; Magnoliopsida; Malpighiales; Euphorbiaceae. The record is from RNAcentral.